This 253-nucleotide ribosomal RNA is filed under the name uncultured prokaryote. RNAcentral describes it as "partial 16S ribosomal RNA". It matches the Rfam family "Bacterial small subunit ribosomal RNA", at positions 524 to 776 of the family's 1533-position model. The record is from RNAcentral.
GACGAACCGUGCGAACGUUGUUCGGAAUCACUGGGCUUAAAGGGCGCGUAGGCGGACUGGCCAGUCUGUGGUGAAAGCCCCCGGCUCAACCGGGGAAGUGCCGCGGAUACUGCCAGUCUGGAGGAGGGUAGGGGCGUCUGGAACGGUCGGUGGAGCGGUGAAAUGCGUUGAUAUCGACCGGAACUCCGGUGGCGAAGGCGAGGCGCUGGACCCUUUCUGACGCUGAGGCGCGAAAGCCAGGGGAGCGAACGGG